UUCUUUUUUUUUUUUUUUUUUUCGUUUUUCACAAUAUCAAACUAUUUAUUAUUCAGUUUACAGUAUAUUAUAUAUUUAGGGGUCCAAGCACCACAGGUUCACUAUCCUAAUCGUAAUCAUGUUAAAUCGUCUCCGAGUUGUUAUCAAUUUUGUGUGAAUUUUCCACCUUUUUAACCAAGUUUAAACCCUUUAGCGCCACCUACAGCCCGACGUUGUACACUCUCCGGAACCUCUUCUCAGACUCUUCAUUCCAAUUCCCUAUGAUUCCUUCAGUCUGAACAAUUCCGUAAACGUAUAAGACGUACACAGGAAGUUGGGUGUUUUCAUCGUUCCCUCCUACAAACUUACUCACAAAAGUACUUUUGCAACCGAUAAGUGCUGCUUUAUUCUACCACUUGGUGGCGCGCUAAUAAUAUAACAUCUGACUAGAAUGUCGGAUUAAGACGCUCAUGACAAAACGGAAACGUCUUUCGCGUGAAUCGGUUUUGUUAUAUAACCUCAUUAAAUGAAGCAUAACUUACAAAGUUCACAUCCCCAAGUGCUUGGACCCCUUAAUCACUUCUAGCUGCCAUGUUAUACUAUAAAUGUAAAGGAUUGUUCAUUAAUAAAUUGUAAUUGUUGCCAAAUUGCCACAGCAGAAAAGGAAUAACACACUUCAGGAUGUGCUGUUAUUGGACAUUAAUCAACUUCUAGGGCGGUGCUACAGUAGCUCUGCUUCAUCACCACACCGUUCUGACGGUGAUUACUUUCCUAGAACAGCACAACAUGGAGUGUUUUAUUCCUUACACUGUAUCUUGCUCGCCGCUCUCGACAAAACCUUUGAUUGCUCGGAGAUCAUACGCCAUUUUGGGGUUUUGAUUCGGAGAUGGCUGUCAAGUUCGCGUCGCAUUAAGAGCGCGAAAGACGGAGAGACGGGACGUCAAAGACACGUGGGAAUGAGGACUGCAGGACCGCACGUGAGAAUUUCGGGACAAACCGAGGAAGAGUGAGAAGAGGAGGAGCCUUUGCAAUGACAGGCAACAUGAUUGACAGGGUCACGGGGAAACCUGGAGCCUAUCCCAGGGAGCAUGGGGCACAAGGCGGGGUACACCCUGGACGGGGUGCCAAUCCAUCCAUCGCAGGGCACACUCAUACACAUUCAUACACUACGGACACUUUGGACAGGACAAUCAGCCUACCGUGCAUGUGUUUGGACUGGGGGAGGAAACCGGAGUACCCGGAGGAAACCCCCGCAGCACGGGGAGAACACGCAAACUCCGCCCACACAGGGCAGCGCUGGGAAUCGAACCUACAAUCCUGGAGGUGUGAGGCAAAGUGCUAACCACUAAUGCACUUUAUGUCGGUAUGUCUCAUCUAUUCUCAUAUAAUGGUAUCCACUAAACAUAACAUGCCACCAAUAGGUGGCAACAAAUUACCAGUAUAGACCCAUACAAUUUCCAUUAUAACCAUUAAAACCAUUACAAAUGAACUAUUGCUUUUUUUUUUUUAAAUAUUACAUCCAUCACGUGAUUUUUCAGUAAGUGCGUUUAUGAAAAGUUUUUCGACAGUAACCGUACUUAUUACUAACACAGCCUGUGUGUUUGGGUAUCACGAGAACCCGCCAUUCAUCAGCGAGACCCUCUCUGUAAUUACGCUCUCAUUUAUUCCGGUUUCCAAGGCAGCAGGAAACGAGGCUUUUUCUCUACAGUGGGACGAAUCAGUGAGCGCUUCCCCCCUGCGAGGAGAACACGCUGCGAGCUGAUAACCGUCCAAAUCCACCACACACAUUAACCGCCUCUAAUUUGGCCUGCAGGCUUGUAAGUGGCAAACAAACAUGGGGGUAUUAUAGCAAAUCUGAGGCAUUAAGGUCCGAGCGUUCGGACGCCUUUACAAGUCUAUGCAUCUGGACGCAAGCUGGCUGAUUUGCAUCCAGGCACAGGUUGGGGAUUUGAGCAGAAAUCCCUGCAGAAUGCUUAAUGUGACGGCGGCAUAAAAACAUCUGGCUGCUUCAUGAGCGCAGAUCCAGUCAGUUCCUCAGCUCCUAACACCGACAGAAACGGUGCACUUCAUCUGACCUGACGUGACCUUGGAUAAUAAUUCACGGAAGAUUGUGGCCCCAGUAUAUUAUCUCAUGGCCUCGAUUUACUGUAUUAUAUCAUGACCUAUCAUCUGCUGCCUUUGAUAUAUCAUCCUGUUGCUUCAGUAUAUCACCUUGUGGCCUCCAUAUAUUAUCUCGUGGAAUAGAUUUUUCUUGUGACCUUAAUGUAUAACCUUAUGACCUCAACAUAUUUAGCUCAUGGCCUCAAUAUAUAAAUUUCUGGUCACAUUAUAUUAUCUCAUGUCACUGAUAUAUCGUCUUGUGACCUCAAUAUAUUAUCUCAU
This is a long non-coding RNA of Ictalurus punctatus (channel catfish), 2361 nucleotides long. The record is from Ensembl. NCBI's taxonomy places the organism in Eukaryota, Metazoa, Chordata, Actinopteri, Siluriformes, Ictaluridae.